UAUGGAAGGGCCAUCGCUCAACGGAUAAAAGCUACCCUGGGGAUAACAGGCUUAUCUCCCCCAAGAGUCCACAUCGACGGGGAGGUUUGGCACCUCGAUGUCGGCUCAUCGCAUCCUGGGGCUGUAGUCGGUCCCAAGGGUUGGGCUGUUCGCCCAUUAAAGCGGUACGCGAGCUGGGUUCAGAACGUCGUGAGACAGUUCGGUCCCUAUCCGUCGCGGGCGUAGGAAAUUUGAGAGGACCUGUCCUUAGUACGAGAGGACCGGGAUGGACAUACCUCUGGUGUACCAGUUGUGCCGCCAGGCGCAUCGCUGGGUAGCUACGUAUGGAUGUGAUAAACGCUGAAAGCAUCUAAGUGUGAAACACACCUCGAGAUGAGAUUUCCCAUUCCUUUAUGGAAGUAAGACCCCUGAAAGAUGAUCAGGUAGAUAGGUUAGAAGUGGCAGUGCGGUGACGCAUGAAGCGGACUAAUACUAAUCGGUCGAGGACUUAACCAA
This 495-nucleotide ribosomal RNA is filed under the name Lactiplantibacillus plantarum. RNAcentral's name for it is "partial 23S ribosomal RNA". It matches the Rfam family "Bacterial large subunit ribosomal RNA", at positions 2432 to 2925 of the family's 2925-position model. The record is from RNAcentral. Lineage: Bacteria; Bacillati; Bacillota; Bacilli; Lactobacillales; Lactobacillaceae.